RNAcentral lists this small nucleolar RNA (122 nucleotides) under Echinops telfairi (small Madagascar hedgehog). Its description in RNAcentral is "Small nucleolar RNA SNORA61 (ENSETEG00000025096.1)". Lineage: Eukaryota; Metazoa; Chordata; Mammalia; Afrosoricida; Tenrecidae. The record is from RNAcentral.
ACCCUCCAGAUUCCUCAUCUCUUAGAUCUAAACAUUGGUCUGAGUGGCUUUAAAAGGAGGACAAGUAAAAUUAAAGUGGACUUAUGAUUCUUGAGUGACAUACAAAUUCAUUUCAAACACAC